This 468-nucleotide ribosomal RNA is filed under the name uncultured bacterium. Its description in RNAcentral is "partial 16S ribosomal RNA". It matches the Rfam family "Bacterial small subunit ribosomal RNA", at positions 28 to 507 of the family's 1533-position model. The record is from RNAcentral.
GACGAACGCUGGCGGCGUGCUUAACACAUGCAAGUCGAACGGAGAGGCCCUGCUUUUGUGGGGUGCUCGAGUGGCGAACGGGUGAGUAACACGUGAGUAACCUACCCUUGCCUUUGGGAUAACUUCAGGAAACUGGGGCUAAUACCGGAUAGGAGCUCCUGCUGCAUGGUGGGGGUUGGAAAGUUUCGGCGGUUGGGGAUGGACUCGCGGGUUGUUAGGUUGUUGGUGGGGUAGUGGGUUACCCAGGCUUUCAAGGGUGGCCGGCCUGAGAGGGUUACCGGCCACAUUGGGACUGAGAUACGGCGCAGACUCCUACGGGAGGCAGCAGUGGGGAAUAUUGUACAAUGGGCGGAAGCCUGAUGCAGCAACGCCGUGUGCGGGAUGACGGCCUUCGGGUUGUAAACCGCUUUCGCCUGGGACGAAGCGGGAGUGACGGUAAUGGGUAAAGAAGCACCGGCUAACUACGUG